RNAcentral lists this ribosomal RNA (541 nucleotides) under uncultured archaeon. RNAcentral describes it as "bacterial SSU rRNA". It matches the Rfam family "Archaeal small subunit ribosomal RNA", at positions 326 to 867 of the family's 1478-position model. The record is from RNAcentral.
CGGGGUGCACCAGGCGCGAAAACUCUACAAUGCAGGCAACUGCGAUAGGGGAACAUCGAGUGAUCCUCAUAUUGGGGGUCUGUCCCACCGUCUAAAAAACGGUGGUUAGCAAGGGCCGGGCAAGACCGGUGCCAGCCGCCGCGGUAAUACCGGCGGCUCGAGUGGUGGCCGAUAUUAUUGAGUCUAAAGGGUCCGUAGCCGGCUUUGCAAGUCUCUCGGGAAAUCCAGCGGCUUAACCGUUGGUCGUCCGGGGGGUACUACAUUGCUUGGGACUGGGAGAGGUAGGAGGUACUCAGGGGGUAGGAGUGAAAUCCUGUAAUCCUCUGGGGACCACCGGUGGCGAAGGCGUCCUACCAGAACAGGUCCGACGGUGAGGGACGAAAGCUAGGGGCACGAACCGGAUUAGAUACCCGGGUAGUCCUAGCCGUAAACGAUGCUCGCUAGGUGUCACAACAGUCGUGAACUGUUGUGGUGCCGUAGGGAAGCCGUGAAGCGAGCCACUUGGGAAGUACGACCGCAAGGUUGAAACUUAAAGGAAUGG